Long non-coding RNA from Tigriopus californicus, 4279 nucleotides. RefSeq lists it as uncharacterized. Lineage: Eukaryota; Metazoa; Arthropoda; Copepoda; Harpacticoida; Harpacticidae. The transcript has 2 exons. The record is from RefSeq and is a predicted model, not a curated record.
GAGGUUGUAAUCAGGGUUACCAACUUACAUUUUCAGUAAUAUAUGUUAAUAGUGCUGGCAUGUCGGAAACCCGUUAGUUAGCCUAAAAGAGUAGCCCUGACUUUUUAUCUGUCCAACCAGGACUGCCUUUUCGAUCAAACCUAGCUUUUUGCAUUGAAUUGGAUCGGCUGGCACUUUACUUUCCAAGUGUAUCAUUGCCAAUGCCAACCAAGGUCCUAGAAGAUAGGGAUGGGCACCUCAGAAAUUAAACCAACCCAGGGGAAAAGGCGACGUCAUAGCGGAUCGAAGAAGGCUUGCACAGAGCGAAAACAUUGCUCGAAAACGGGUUGUUCAAAUAAGAACCCAAAUUGUGCGUGGUUGACCUAGUGGUGGAUAGGAGUACAAUAUUGCCUUUCACCCUUGAGGCAACCAUAUUCACUAUUUCUCCUUUUUUGUCAAUGAUAUGGAUGGACCAAACUUGGACCAAACCAAGUUGUGCUUGACCAAAGAAAGGGUACACUAAUAGGCUUUUUGAGUGGUAUCCACAAUACCAAUACGCUAUUUUUUGGAUACCAUAACUUGUAACAAGCAAUUUCAAUAUAAAAAGACAAAGAAAACAGCUUCUAAUCAAAUCAUUCAUUGUAUCUACUCAAUUUUGAAAUUUAGAUAAAUACUUAUAACAUUAUGUUGGUAGAUACUCCUUUUGUAAACUCUUUGUUGUAAUUCAAUAGAAUUUUUAGGAAGAUUACAUUUACCAUUGUUCUUGCAAUUGAUAUGUUUUAUUGCCAUAUGUUUUCUACUUCUUAAACCAUUGGUUGCUCAUGUGUUUCUUUUUCUUUCCCGUUUUUUCUCUUCUCUCUUCGUUUUUUUUCAUUUGUGGCAUUACUCAAUUAAACACAAUGUUAGCAAUAAACAAUGAAACAAUUUAAAAGGAAACAGAGGUUUGGUACAGAGAUAAUCAUGAAUGUUUUUUCUGCAUUCAAAACUGUUGAAAUCUUGUGAAGAUAGAUACAAACAAAAGUGAUGACAUUUCUUAUGAAUGAUAUGAUUGUUAAGUGAAAUAAGGAUGAUGAGUAAAGACUUUUAUAUUGUUUACUUCUUGUCACCGGAUCUUGUCAUUUUGGGACAUUUUAAACAUUCAGGUGUUUUUAACCAAGUUUCCCCAAAAAAAUACAGAUUUGGUUUCAAAUAAUCCAAAAAUUGGACAUUUUUCUUGCAAAGUUAUGCACCAAAGACCAUGAAUAAUGCAUUUUGGUUUACCUCUCAUACUUUAAAACUUCAAGGGGUCAUUUUUUAUGUGCCUUUUUGCCUAGGAAACUCUGCCCUGUCUUCAUUGUUGCAAUUUUUUGUUGCCAUCCUGAUCUUAACAAAGACGUGGUGUAGUGGUUAGCGCAGUUUCCUAACAUGAGAGAGAUCCCUGGUUCCAUUCUGCUCCCCAACCUUUCUCAAAGAAACUUUUAGACGCUAACCGCGCCCACAGACAGAGAACCAGAACUGAUGUGGACAUGACGAGGCCUAUCAGAGCAAUAUGUAAGCACGAUGUGAUGGCUGGCUUUGCUGGCCAGGCGCAGCUUAUCCCUCUGACCCUACCACCCAAAUACAAAACAAAAUCGUUUAUGAACUUGGACUAAAUCAAUAUCAAACCUUAGCAUUGCCAAAUCUUAGCAUCCAAAUCUUGGCUGAGUUUAUUCAUCAAGAUAUUUGCCAAGCAAAUGAAAGGGCAAAAUGUGAAAACCACUCUCUUUGUACAGGUUAAAAAACUAGCUCAUACUUUGAACUUGAUCAUUCAUUGAAAAUGGCCAAGUGGCAAAAUAUAUUAUACCUCCAGAUUUAAAAAAAAAGCAGUUGAUAAGCCUUCCAAAAAAAAAAUGAAAGUAACUAUCUCAUGGUAUCUGAAAUUUAGACCCUUGGGAGGGAGACAUUUUCAAGAAGUUUGGAUAAUGGCUUAAGUAAGGCUGGCAACAGCUAAUUUGAAAUUUAGUGACACAGUUACAUCAAUAUAAAAGUGCAAAAAAAGAAUCCAUCUAAUACACCCUCUUUUCAACACAACUUGCCCUUUACUUUCAGUCAGUUUUCAAUAGUAAGACAGUUUUGUUGGAUAAGGUAUUGAAAACUACAUUAUGUAAUAACUAGAGCCACUCUAUGAUGGCUCUAGUAAUAACAAAGUUUUUAUGAUCAAUUCUUCAAUUGAGCCAAAACAGAGUUGUGGACAGUCUCAAUUUUCACAUAUACUAUUGAGAUUUCUUGGGAAAAACAAAAAUGCCAAUUUAUAAUUUCGGCGAAUCAAAUCUUUUCAAUUUUAUUUAACUAUGGUCAUUGCCUUUUUAAUAUUUUGCCUUUUUGAAGUAAAUAUUAUUUCAAUAUUUUUUUCUCUUAAAGUGGAGAGGUAUCCAAGUUUCUAGUGAUGAGAGUUCUAAUUCAGCAAUUAGUAGUAAUGCCACCUCACAAACAACUGAAUUGAUUUUUUUUCCAAGGAAUCCAGUCCAAUAUCUUAACCAAUACUCUAUCUUCAAACUCGAUGCAUGAGUUGUUCAAACCAGAAACAACUUUAAUGGCAUUGUUGUCGCAGCCUAUCACGCUAUAGAACCAUCAAUUGGAGUUAUGUGAUCAAAUGAAUUAUCAAAAUUAAAUGAAUGGUACCACAAAACUUGGAGAGUAAAGGCAUUAUCCAUAGACCACUGAAAAUUAUGGACGUAACUCGAUGACCAAGAUCAGGGCUGCACCAUCAGUCUUGCCAUGUUGCAGGUUCGCUCUGUCAAUAGGCACCUUCAAGCUACAGAUGACUGAUGACGUCAUCUUAAAAAGGAAAGUGAACAAUGUCGCCUAUGCCACUAGUCAUUACUGUUUAGUGGUUCUGGGCCAUCAUGAUCAAAACUCCAAAGAAUAAUCCACAAUGGAAUCUAUGGAUUGAAGCUGUUCUGCCAUUACACUCAACAUUCAAGAGUUCUGGAAGGAUGGAUGAAUCGCAUCCACGGGAGUCUCUUACUAUCAGUGGACUCAGGCAAAUUUUAUUCAGAGGCCAUUGCAGUGGCCAACUCUUCUUAAAGAUGAUGUUCACCCACCGUUUGAGCGCUUUUCUGGAUUGGCUGAGGAUUGGGAUCUCCUUUACAAAUUCCAAUUUGAUUUCCAGAGCAGCCGCUCUACCACCUCUGCAGUUACUCUCUUCUAUGAAAUUGUCCAAUCUUUGUGGAUCUCUCCUCAAGCACCAUCAACCCAACUUUCCUCCACCAAUCAUCUCAAAUCAUCAAUAGUCAAAGCUAGGGCCAUGAUUGAAAACAUUUCCAAUAGACUUCCCAUCAAGAAUCUUCCCUCUCUAAUAGUUCUUCAACUCUUCUGGACCUACAUCAACCCAAUUCUCCUCUACUGCCUUCUGCCCAAUCCGCCCUCAAAUCCGCCGAUGCCACCUUCACCAAAUUCCUCUAACGAUUUCUGUGCGUUCCCCAAUAUGCCAAAAAUGCAUGGAGGUAUUUUUACAACCAAAAAUUGGGCUGGCCAUGUUAGUGUCCCAGUAUUGGGAACCUGACCUUUCUGGAGGUGAUGUCCGGACUCAAGUUGUCCUUCUCGGUCAAGGACAUACUAACACCCUACUGUCCUUGGCCUGACAUCCCUUUGGAAUAUUGGCGGUCACUCAUGUUUUUCCGGCUCCGGUCCAAAUGUCAUCAACGGUGUGAGCUGAAACAGGAUCUGUUCAAUCUGACCCACCCAAUCUUCUGCAGUAAUCAAGAUUUUCAUCACUUGUCUCUACCCAACUGUUUAUGUACUGGCUGUGAUUCUCCUCUUCACUUUUUUCAUGUAGACUAUACUUGAAGUAUGGAACCCUCCUAACAGGGAAUAUUGGCCGUAUAGAGAAGGUGCAAAGAAGAAUCCCCAAGUGGCACAAUUCUUAUCCAGUACAGAAUAUCUUCACUCUCUUCAAACAUUAAAAGAGAGACAUAUUUUCUUGGACUUCCCUCUUAUGUUGAAGGUGUGCUUUCAACUGUUAACAAUAUCACUUCUUUGGGAUCACCUAUUGUUGUGAUCAAUUUCUUAGCUCGUGAAGGAUCAGAUUUGAUGAAGAUGUGCAAAUUAGAAAAUGGGCCUUUUUUGAAAUUAAAUGUAAUCUUGUACAUGUUACCAUUCAUUUUUAUGCGUUCUGCUUGUAUGUGGAACACUUAUACUUGAAACAUUCUUGAUCAGUGAGUGCGUUUAAAAAAACUUUUUUCCUAGCAUGGUUCCAAAUUAUUAGUCCAUUAUUAAACCCUUCUGUUAUCAUCAAUUCGAUGUUUGAGUAGUACACACAAUAAACAAUUCUAUCUAGUCA